Non-coding RNA from Vicia faba (fava bean), 192 nucleotides. The record is from the annotation of a GenBank genome assembly. NCBI's taxonomy places the organism in Eukaryota, Viridiplantae, Streptophyta, Magnoliopsida, Fabales, Fabaceae.
AUGGUGUUAAACAGUUAUCCUUUGAUUCAGAGAGUGUACAUGUUCAUUUAUCUUUGUAUUCUUGUGUGUUACUGUGAUACCUUUUUGGGUUUAAAAACUUAUAUAUUUCUCUUGCCUUGUUAUAUGAAUUUCUACUCUCCUCCCCCAAAGCCCUUUCUUCCCCUCCCUCUAAACUCGCCAGUAGAGUCUUGA